ACGCUCGACACCUACGGGAGGCAGCAGUAGGGAUCUUCCACAAUGGGCGCAAGCCUGAUGGAGCAACACCGCGUGAGUGAAGAAGGGUUUCGGCUCGUAAAGCUCUGUUGUUGGAGAAGAACGUGCGUGAGAGUAACUGUUCACGCAGUGACGGUAUCCAACCAGAAAGUCACGGCUAACUACGUGCCAACAGCCGCGGUAAUCUGAGCGGGCUGGCAAGGC
This 222-nucleotide ribosomal RNA is filed under the name uncultured bacterium. Its description in RNAcentral is "partial 16S ribosomal RNA". It matches the Rfam family "Bacterial small subunit ribosomal RNA", at positions 328 to 539 of the family's 1533-position model. The record is from RNAcentral.